RNAcentral lists this ribosomal RNA (516 nucleotides) under uncultured bacterium. Its description in RNAcentral is "partial 16S ribosomal RNA". It matches the Rfam family "Bacterial small subunit ribosomal RNA", at positions 28 to 523 of the family's 1533-position model. The record is from RNAcentral.
GAUGAACGCUGGCGGCGUGCCUAAUACAUGCAAGUCGAGCGAAUGGAUUAAGAGCUUGCUCUUAUGAAGUUAGCGGCGGACGGGUGAGUAACACGUGGGUAACCUGUCCAUAAGACUGGGAUAACUCCGGGAAACCGGGGCUAAUACCGGAUAAUAUUUUGAACUGCAUGGUUCAACAUUGAAAGGCGGCUUCGGCUGUCACUUAUGGAUGGACCCGCGUCGCAUUAGCUAGUUGGUGAGGUAACGGCUCACCAAGGCAACGAUGCUGUAGCCGACCUGAGAGGGUGAUCGGCCACACUGGGACUGAGACACGGCCCAGACUCCUACGGGAGGCAGCAGUAGGGAAUCUUCCGCAAUGGACGAAAGUCUGACGGAGCAACGCCGCGUGAGUGAUGAAGGCUUUCGGGUCGUAAAACUCUGUUGUUAGGGAAGAACAAGUGCUAGUUGAAUAAGCUGGCACCUUGACGGUACCUAACCAGAAAGCCACGGCUAACUACGUGCCAGCAGCCGCCGUAA